GAUGAACGCUGGCGGCGUGCCUAAUACAUGCCAGUCGAGCGAACGGACGAGAAGCUUGCUUCUCUGAUGUUAGCGGCGGACGGGUGAGUAACACGUGGAUAACCUACCUAUAAGGCUGGGAUAACUUCGGGAAACCGGAUCUAAUACCGGAUGAUAUUUUGAACCGCAUGGUUCAAAAGUGAAAGACGGUCUUGCUGUCACUUAUAGAUGGAUCCGCGCUGCAUUAGCUAGUUGGUAAGGUAACGGCUUACCAAGGCAACGAUGCAUAGCCGACCUGAGAGAGUGAUCGGCAACACUGGAACUGAGACACGGUCCAGACUCCUACGGGAGGCAGCAGUAGGGAAUCUUCCGCAAUGGGCGAAAGCCUGACGGAGCAACGCCGCGUGAGUGAUGAAGGUCUUCGGAUCGUAAAACUCUGUUAUUAGGGAAGAACAUAUGUGUAAGUAACUGUGCACAUCUUGGCGGUACCUAAUCAGAAAGCCACGGCUAACUACGUG
This 497-nucleotide ribosomal RNA is filed under the name uncultured bacterium. Its description in RNAcentral is "partial 16S ribosomal RNA". It matches the Rfam family "Bacterial small subunit ribosomal RNA", at positions 28 to 507 of the family's 1533-position model. The record is from RNAcentral.